This 949-nucleotide ribosomal RNA is filed under the name Salmonella enterica subsp. enterica serovar Typhimurium. RNAcentral's name for it is "bacterial SSU rRNA". It matches the Rfam family "Bacterial small subunit ribosomal RNA", at positions 64 to 984 of the family's 1533-position model. Lineage: Bacteria; Pseudomonadati; Pseudomonadota; Gammaproteobacteria; Enterobacterales; Enterobacteriaceae. The record is from RNAcentral.
GAACAAGGGGGAAAAGGCAGCUUGCCUGGCUUUGCUGACGAGUGGCGGACGGGUGAGUAAUGUCUGGGAAACUGCCUGAUGGAGGGGGAUAACUACUGGAAACGGUGGCUAAUACCGCAAACGUCGCAGACCAAAGAGGGGGACCUUCGGGCCUCUUGCCAUCAGAUGUGCCCAGAUGGGAUUAGCUUGUUGGUGAGGUAACGGCUCACCAAGGCGACGAUCCCUAGCUGGUCUGAGAGGAUGACCAGCCACACUGGAACUGAGACACGGUCCAGACUCCUACGGGAGGCAGCAGUGGGGAAUAUUGCACAAUGGGCGCAAGCCUGAUGCAGCCAUGCCGCGUGUAUGAAGAAGGCCUUCGGGUUGUAAAGUACUUUCAGCGGGGAGGAAGGUGUUGUGGUUAAUAACCACAGCAAUUGACGUUACCCGCAGAAGAAGCACCGGCUAACUCCGUGCCAGCAGCCGCGGUAAUACGGAGGGUGCAAGCGUUAAUCGGAAUUACUGGGCGUAAAGCGCACGCAGGCGGUCUGUCAAGUCGGAUGUGAAAUCCCCGGGCUCAACCUGGGAACUGCAUUCGAAACUGGGCAGGCUUGAGUCUUGUAGAGGGGGGUAGAAUUCCAGGUGUAGCGGUGAAAUGCGUAGAGAUCUGGAGGAAUACCGGGUGGCGAAGGCGGCCCCCUGGACAAAGACUGACGCUCAGGGUGCGAAAGCGUGGGGGAGCAAAACAGGAUUAGAUACCCUGGUAGUUCCACGCCGUAAACGAUGUCUACUUUGGAGGUUGUGCCCUUUGAGGCGUGGCUUCCGGAGCUAACGCGUUAAGUAGACCGCCUGGGGAGUUACGGCCGCAAGGUUAAAACUCAAAAUGAAUUGACGGGGGCCCCGCACAAACCGGUGGGAGCAAGGUGGGUUUAAUUCGAUGCAACGCCGAAGAACCCUACCUGGGUCUUGA